GGAGAGGUGGCUGAGUGGCUCAAAGCAACGGUUUGCUAAAUCGUCGUAAGGGGUAACCUUUACCGAGGGUUCGAAUCCCUCCCUCUCCA
Molecule: transfer RNA, 89 nt
Filed under: Kofleriaceae bacterium
Lineage: Bacteria; Pseudomonadati; Myxococcota; Haliangiales; Kofleriaceae
Description: tRNA-Ser
Rfam family: tRNA
About the family: Transfer RNA (tRNA) molecules are approximately 80 nucleotides in length.
Source: RNAcentral